GAUGAACGCUAGCGGCAGGCCUAAUACAUGCAAGUCGAGCGCCCAGCAAUGGGAGCGGCGGACGGGUGCGUAACACGUAUGCAACCUACCCAUGACAGGGGGAUACCCCGUGGAAACGCGGAUCAAUACCCUAUAGUAUUGUUGACUGGCAUCAGUUGGCAAUUAAAGUUUCGAUACGGUCAUGGAUGGGCAUGCGUCCGAUUAGCUAGUUGGUAGGGUAAUGGCCUACCAAGGCUACGAUCGGUAACUGGUCUGAGAGGAUGAUCAGUCACACUGGCACUGAGACACGGGCCAGACUCCUACGGGAGGCAGCAGUAGGGAAUAUUGGGCAAUGGGGGCAACCCUGACCCAGCCAUGCCGCGUGAAGGAAGAAGGCCCUCUGGGUUGUAAACUUCUUUUGUAUGGGGCUAAGAUGUUAUAAGAAUAUAAUAUUUGAAGGUACCAUAAGAAUAAGCCACGGCUAACUACGUGCCAGCAGCCGCGGUAAUACGUAGGUGGCAAGCGUUGUCCGGAUUUACUGGGUUUAAAGGGUGCGUAGGCGGGAUUAUAAGUCAGUGGUGAAAUUCGGUUGCUUAACGAUACGAGUGCCAUUGAUACUGUAGUUCUAGAGUAAAGUUAAGGUAUGUGGAACGACUGGUGUAGCGGUGAAAUGCAUAGAUAUCAGUCAGAACACCGAUUGCGAAGGCAGCGUACUGAGCUUUUACUGACGCUGAGGCACGAAAGCAAGGGGAUCAAACAGGAUUAGAUACCCUGGUAGUCUUUGCUGUAAACGUUGGAUACUAGCUGUUGGGACAUUGCGGUUUCAGCGGCCAAGCGCAAGUGAUAAGUAUCCCACCUGGGGAGUACGCUCGCAAGGGUGAAACUCAAAGGAAUUGACGGGGGCCCGCACAAGCGGUGGAGCAUGUGGUUUAAUUCGAUGAUACACGAGGAACCUUACCUGGGCUAGAAUGUGAGGGAAUUAGCAGAGAUGCGAAAGUCCGCAAGGACCCGAAACAAGGUGCUGCAUGGCUGUCGUCAGCUCGUGUCGUGAGAUGUUGGGUUAAGUCCCGCAACGAGCGCAACCCUUAUUGUUAGUUGCCAGCAUUUAGAUGGGGACUCUAACAAGACUGCCGGCGUAAGCCGAGAGGAAGGAGGGGACGACGUCAAGUCAUCAUGGCCCUUACGCCCAGGGCUACACACGUGCUACAAUGGACGGUACAAAGAGCAGCCAACCUGCGAAGGUGCGCGAAUCUCAAAAAGCCGUUCUCAGUUCGGAUUGGAGUCUGCAACUCGACUCCAUGAAGUUGGAAUCGCUAGUAAUCGCAGAUCAGCUAUGUUGCGGUGAAUACGUUCCCGGGCCUUGUACACACCGCCCGUCAAGCCAUGAAAGCUGAGGGUGCCUGAAGUUGGGGAUAACCCACCUAGGGCAAAAUCGGUAAUUGGGGCU
This 1426-nucleotide ribosomal RNA is filed under the name uncultured bacterium. Its description in RNAcentral is "bacterial SSU rRNA". It matches the Rfam family "Bacterial small subunit ribosomal RNA". The record is from RNAcentral.